GAAGGCAAAUUUCCUUCAUUCACAGGUGGUGCAAAAGGGACUGAUUUCCUUCUGUACAUUUUCCUUGGUUUGUCACUACUUGUCAACCUUUUAUUACUUUUAUGGUUAGCCAAACAAAAAAGAUGUGCAUCUUGUGGAAUAUUUAAGAAGUUUCAGGAGCCUCACCAAGACUCCCAUGAGAGCAAUCUACAUUACGCUGAAGUGAUGACUUCUGAAAUCCGUCAGCAAAGGAAAGAAGCGGAAACAAGGACAACGUAUGCUGAAGUACAGAUGAGGAAAGCUUUAUAAAACUGAACUUCAGACUCUGAAAUGGGCUCAUUUGUCAGCCUUACCUCCUUCUAUCACCACAGUGGUGACUAAGAACUUUCUUUUUUAUAUAGGAUAUGAAAACAUAAAUAUAAAUAUAAUGUGUUAUUCUGUAUGGAUCAUUGAAUACAUAGCACACAAAUUAAUGACUUUCUUUAUUCAUCUCUAAUCUAUCAUUUGUAUUUAUUUCAUACCUUGACAGUUGUAAUGCUGUGUCAUUCUCUGUUGUACCAUUGCAAAUUGUCA
Molecule: long non-coding RNA, 552 nt
Organism: Erpetoichthys calabaricus (reedfish)
Lineage: Eukaryota; Metazoa; Chordata; Cladistia; Polypteriformes; Polypteridae
Exons: 3
Source: RefSeq, a predicted model, not a curated record